UUGAUUGAUUUGUUUUUUUUUCUCAGACGACAUGAUUCAAUUCAGAGUAUAGGUUUUGGCCUCUGGCGGCCCGCAAGCUGGGACAAAGUCUCGGCGCAACUGCAUGAAAUGCAAACUGCACGAGGCCGCCCCAACCCGCACAGACCCUCACGGAUCUCAACCGCCAAAGCAACAUGACUGUAAUGACAAGGGUGGAGACCGUGAAUGCUCACAGAACUCGGUAAUGAUCCUUCCGCAGGUUCACCUACGGAAA
Molecule: unclassified non-coding RNA, 253 nt
Filed under: uncultured fungus
Lineage: Eukaryota; Fungi
Description: sequence contains ITS1
Source: RNAcentral